GGGAAGGUAGCUUAGUGGUAGAGUACUUGCCUUACAUGCAUGAGGCCCUGGGUUCGAUUCCUCAGCACCGCCU
Molecule: non-coding RNA, 73 nt
Organism: Dipodomys ordii (Ord's kangaroo rat)
Lineage: Eukaryota; Metazoa; Chordata; Mammalia; Rodentia; Heteromyidae
Source: Rfam